This 332-nucleotide ribosomal RNA is filed under the name uncultured Alphaproteobacteria bacterium. RNAcentral's name for it is "bacterial SSU rRNA". It matches the Rfam family "Bacterial small subunit ribosomal RNA", at positions 133 to 499 of the family's 1533-position model. Lineage: Bacteria; Pseudomonadati; Pseudomonadota; Alphaproteobacteria. The record is from RNAcentral.
UUAGUACGGAAUAGCCAUUGGAAACGAUGAUUAAUACCGUAUACGCCCCAAGGGGGAAAGAUUUAUCGCUAAAGGAUCGGCCCGCGUUAGAUUAGGUAGUUGGUAGGGUAAUGGCCUACCAAGCCGACGAUCUAUAGCUGGUUUGAGAGGAUGAUCAGCAACACUGGGACUGAGACACGGCCCAGACUUCUACGGAAGGCAGCAGUAGGGAAUCUUGGACAAUGGGCGAAAGCCUGAUCCAGCCAUGCCGCGUGAGUGAUGAAGGCCCUAGGGUUGUAAAGCUCUUUCGCCAGGGAAGAUAAUGACGGUACCUGGUAAAGAAACCCCGGCUA